RNAcentral lists this unclassified non-coding RNA (1094 nucleotides) under Hevea brasiliensis (rubber tree). The record is from RNAcentral. Lineage: Eukaryota; Viridiplantae; Streptophyta; Magnoliopsida; Malpighiales; Euphorbiaceae.
ACUACAUAACUGCUCAUAGUAAAUGUAUUAGUUAAUCUUCUUAGUCUCUUAUAAAUAUAAUCCAAUAUAUUUAUACUCUAACUACUAUACCAUGAGGGGUGUCUUUAAUUAUAUGGGCAAGGACUCUCUCACCAAUGGACAAAAAUUCUUUUCUCUUGAAUUCUAUAUCAUUUCUACAUUUUAGGCUCAAACCUCUUCCUCCAUGGAACUGCAAUGAGCAAGAGUCCCUUGUCAACGAGCAAAGCCAAAUUCUUAGCAAUUGAUAAAGCCAUUCACUCCAUGGACUGAAAGCCACUCUCUUUAAUGGGUGAAGUCACUCUCCAUGGGCUAAGGCCUCUCUAUGAGCAAAGCCAAAUAACAUUUCCACAAUAUUCCUAUUUAUAGUGUUAGUCACCUCAAAUCUAAUUUAAUUAGAAAUCCAACUCAAUUUAAGAAUAAUAUUAGAUGAGAGUUUUUCUCUAUAUAGGAAAUAUACAUUCGUCCUAUUAAGAAAUAUUUUUUUCUCUCAAAUUAUAAAAAGGUUUCUUCAAAUUCCAUUAGGAUUUUGAAUCAUAAAUCUAGCAACUAUUUUCUCACUCAAUUAUUGAAUAUGGAUGAAGAUUUGAGUUGUUUGUGUUAUUCGAAUUAGAGAUUUUUUUUUUAUUCGGAUUAGAGAAAUUUUGAGUUGUUUGUGUUGUUUAGGUAAGAAAAACCAGAGAAAUUGUAGGUUGUUUGUCGUUCUUAAAGAUUGAGAGAGGAAGUGUUUGGGUAGUUUGCAGACAUACACACGAGAGAGUUUGGAUAAUUUGGAGGACAGAGAAUAGUAGUUUACAGAGAGAAAAUAGUCACUUCUAAUAUUUUUUUUUAUUCUUUCUUUUUUUUAACAAGAUUUUUUUUUUUAAAUUCUUUCUUAAUUAACACCCUUUGUCACUUAGUUUUUAUUAAGGUUAACAAAGUUUUUAAUUUUAUCAAAAAUAAAAUUUUAGUGUUUAGUUAUAUAUAAUAAUAUUCAAAUUACUUAAAUCACAUAAAACUAAAGAGUUUAAAAAUAAUUUUUUUUUCCUAAAAAUUCUCUUUUUCUUUGAAAAAUUUUUAGGGUAUAAAUAGAUAGGAUU